CUACGGGAGGCAGCAGUGGGGAAUAUUGGGCAAUGGGGGGAACCCUGACCCAGCGACGCCGCGUGAGGGAAGAAGGUUUUCGGAUCGUAAACCUCUGUUGUACGGGAAGAAGGAAGUGACGGUACC
Molecule: ribosomal RNA, 126 nt
Filed under: uncultured bacterium
Lineage: Bacteria
Description: partial 16S ribosomal RNA
Rfam family: Bacterial small subunit ribosomal RNA
Source: RNAcentral